GCACAACUCAGUACUCACUAACUUAACAGCACCAAUACGGCAAUACCACGCAUCUCUCUCCCUCUCUGCCCUGAAACAGAUAAAAAAAAAAUAGUUUCUCUCCUGCAUUUCGAAUUUUAAGCUAACAUAAAAUUUAUGCUCAAAUCGAUUAAAUUCAAGCCAAAAUUCGAACCACACCAUUACAUCAUGAAGAAGCAAAGAACCAAACGUCCUCGCCGAAUUCGCUCUCCGGUUCUUAUCCCGCAUUUGAAUUCAGCUCCUCAAAGGAGCCGAGGUCUCUCUGCUUUCUCUGCUGAUUCAAUCCCCUGCUUCUGCUUAGGAGAUGAAUUAUCUUGCGAUUCAAGCAGAGUUGUAGUCAAAUCCAGCGCAAGUAAGAGAAAAUCACGUGAAACAGAAGGAAUCGAAAGGAUUGAAGACGUUCCGUUUCGGAGAAUCACGAGAUCUUACUAUAAGCAGAAGAAAAGCGAGAGGAAAGAAAAUGAAAUAGAAGUGAGUGAAUCGUCUUGUGUGGAGUCGAAUUCUGGAGCUGAUUCUGAGAAUAAAAGAAGUUCAAAGUUGAAGAAGAGAAGUGUAGACUCAAAGGAAAUUCCUAUAAAUGAAGAUUUUAUGUCGGUUACCAGAUCGGAGAUUUCCUCUGUUCAGCAAAAUUUGUGUUCCGGUAGCCGAAUUUUGGAGAACGUAUCGGAGGAUAAGGAAAAUGAUACCGUUUCUAUCGCUUCUGGUGCGGAAUCAUGCUUGAGAGUUCUCGAAGUCGAUCUUGCUUGCGCAGAGCGCAUCUCUUACGACGAUGCUGCUACGGAAUACUCUUCUAAUCAUGAGACAGCAUUCUCUGAGCUACAAUCGGAAACAUUUUUAGAGAGCUCAUCGGACAUUGAGUUCUCAUAUUACACGCCGUCAAGUUUCUUGGAUACUGGAAGCGAAUUCUCCGAAAAGUCAAUUGAUGAUUCUCCUCCUUCGCAUACUUACUCAUUGUUUCUCGAGUUUAAACAACAAUUCUCGAGAUCAAGCGUUGCUCUAGACAUUAUAAGAUCCUUGCUCAUUGAAGCAGAGUACCUCGAACAUUCUAGCUUUGUGAAGUUCGAAGAUGAGGAAGACGAGGAGAGUGAAUCGGACAAUGUUGAUGAGGAAAUUGAGGACGAUGAGGAUGACGGCGGCGCGAAGGAGGAGUCUCUCUGCAAUGGAGUCAUUCGUCUUCUCAAAGGUGGAAAGGAUUUGCUGUGAUCUUAAUUUCCUCUUGCAUUGAUCUAAUUGAUUAUAUUUGUUCAGCGCUGUUGUCCGGAAUCAUGUAUUGUCAAGAAAACAAUGCCUUCAAGUGAGGAAUAUAUCAUAAUAAUACGUAAACAUAAUCAGCUCGGCACUCUAUUUUCUGAGAAAUGUAUGGUAUCAUUUAGUGAUGAAAGGAGUGAAAUCAAUUGCUUUCAUUAUCUUUUCGAGUGUUGGUGUCUCAUCACAUGAAGCAUUAUGUAUGCAUUCUUGAAAAUCCUUAGUUCUUGUUUUCCUUGUAAUCAGUGAGAAAUAACUGUGAAAUU
This 1529-nucleotide unclassified non-coding RNA is filed under the name Hevea brasiliensis (rubber tree). Lineage: Eukaryota; Viridiplantae; Streptophyta; Magnoliopsida; Malpighiales; Euphorbiaceae. The record is from RNAcentral.